Molecule: ribosomal RNA, 539 nt
Filed under: uncultured archaeon
Lineage: Archaea
Description: bacterial SSU rRNA
Rfam family: Archaeal small subunit ribosomal RNA
Source: RNAcentral
AGCAGCCGCGGUAACACCGGCGGCCCGAGUGGUGAUCGUGAUUAUUGGGUCUAAAGGGUCCGUAGCCGGUUUGGUCAGUCCUCCGGGAAAUCUGAUAGCUCAACUAUUAGGCUUUCGGGGGAUACUGCCAGACUUGGAACCGGGAGAGGUAAGAGGUACUACAGGGGUAGGAGUGAAAUCUUGUAAUCCCUGUGGGACCACCUGUGGCGAAGGCGUCUUACCAGAACGGGUUCGACGGUGAGGGACGAAAGCUGGGGGCACGAACCGGAUUAGAUACCCGGGUAGUCCCAGCCGUAACGAUGCUCGCUAGGUGUCAGGCAUGGCGCGACCGUGUCUGGUGCCGCAGGGAAGCCGUGAAGCGAGCCACCUGGGAAGUACGGCCGCAAGGCUGAAACUUAAAGGAAUUGGCGGGGGAGCACAACAACGGGGUUGGAGCCUGCGGUUUAAUUGGACUCAACGCCGGACAACUCACCGGGGGCGACAGCAAUAUGUAGGCCAAGCUGAAGACUUUGCCUGAAUCGCUGAGAGGAGGUGCAUGG